RNAcentral lists this ribosomal RNA (314 nucleotides) under uncultured fungus. Its description in RNAcentral is "SSU rRNA". It matches the Rfam family "Eukaryotic small subunit ribosomal RNA", at positions 1344 to 1680 of the family's 1831-position model. Lineage: Eukaryota; Fungi. The record is from RNAcentral.
UAACCUGCUAAAUAGAAAUGCGAACCUGCGUUCGUACGUUCUUCUUAGAGGGACUGACUACGUUUAGUGGUCGGAAGUUUGAGGCAAUAACAGGUCUGUGAUGCCCUUAGAUGUUCUGGGCUGCACGCGCGCUACACUGACAGAGGCAGCGAGUAUACAACCUUGACCGGAAGGUCUGGGUAAUCUUUUGAAACUCUGUCGUGCUGGGGAUAGAGCAUUGCAAUUAUUGCUCUUCAACGAGGAAUUCCUAGUAAGCGCAUGUCAUCAGCAUGCGUUGAUUACGUCCCUGCCCUUUGUACACACCGCCCGUCGCU